Molecule: ribosomal RNA, 253 nt
Filed under: uncultured bacterium
Lineage: Bacteria
Description: partial 16S ribosomal RNA
Rfam family: Bacterial small subunit ribosomal RNA
Source: RNAcentral
UACGAAGGGUGCUAGCGUUGCUCGGAAUCACUGGGCGUAAAGCGCACGUAGGCGGAUCUUUAAGUCAGGUGUGAAAUCCUGGAGCUCAACUCCAGAACUGCCUUUGAUACUGGGGAUCUCGAGUCCGGGAGAGGUGAGUGGAACUCCGAGUGUAGAGGUGAAAUUCGUAGAUAUUCGGAAGAACACCAGUGGCGAAGGCGGCUCACUGGCCCGGUACUGACGCUGAGGUGCGAAAGCGUGGGGAGCAAACAGG